AUGGUGGUGAUUUCUGACGGCCUUAACAUGACAGGCCCUGCUGAUUCUGGCUCCACAGCGGAGUUGCAGCUCGAGUCCAUGGAGUUGGACAUCAAGACGCUGCAGCGUGACCGAGAAGAAGAUCGCAAAGACUUUCAGCAAUUCCAAGCGACUGUGAACAGAAAUUUCGCCAGGAUGCAGAAAAAUUUUGAAAAGAUCCAAGACAACUUCAGGCGCUUGCUGUUAGAUCCGGAGCCAGCUACUGGAGAAGAAAGAGAGGAGGGUCAGGGAAGUGUCCAAAUCAAGGACAAUAACAACCAAUCGCCUCAAAUAGCUCCUGGACGACCCAAGCAACUCCAAGCUCCAACCCCUCCAUCAGUAGCAAUGCCAGAGAAAGCACCUCCUGCGCCAGUGGGAAAUGCAACACUGCGAGAUCACACUGGGAAAGAACUCAAUUUGGAUGGGACCCUGAAAGUGCCUUACAGACAUCCAAAUUUUGGUCAGGGUAAGGAAGCAGCACCAAACAUUGUAAUCCAAAUGGAAGAAAGGCAAGAGGAGGAGGUUAUGGAUCAGCAGUACAGAAGAGGGCCCAAUUUCCCUGUUGAGGCACGAAGAAAUGUGUUGACAGUAAAGCCAGCUAAGUUAAACAUCUCUGAAUUUGAAGGUCAGGACCCAGAGUCUUGGAUUCAGAAUUUGGAGCAGUAUUUUGCUGCAGCCAGAACUCCUAUUGAGCACAGAACUGAGCUGGCAGUUUCUUACCUUAAAGGGCCUGCUGUACAAUGGUGGAGAGGAACAGGAUUUGCUCCUAGCAAUGUUCCAUGGCACAAGUUUUGCUCUUACAUCUCUGACAGAUUUUCUGUGGAUUCUGUCUGUGACAUUGUCAGCUCCUUCCAUGCAGCUCGGCAAACUACCACAAUUACUGCAUAUGUGGAGCAGUUUGAGCAGCUAAUGAACAUAAUGAGAAGAGAAAACCCUGGAAUCCUUGAUGAUUAUUAUGUUUCUAGCUUUGUGGCAGGGCUUAACCCAUAUAUUAAAAGCCAUGUGGAGUGCUUCAGGCCUAAGGAUAUGCAGACUGCAGUAUGGUAUGCUAGGAGGAUGGAGAAAGCCCAGGUUCCAGCUACUGUAGUGCAAACUAAACCUUAUGUCCCUCAACCUAGAAGGCAAGUAGUAUUUGAUCAGCCCAAAAACCCUGUUAAUACUGCCACACCAAACAGAAACACUAUUAUCCAGCAGGCAAAACAAAACCAAGUGUGUUAUAAGUGCAGAGAGCCUUGGGUGCCUGGUCAUAGACAGGUCUAUAAAAUGAGCCAGAGAGCUCAGAUCCAAGCACUGCAAGUUGAUGAAGUUGACAAUCCUGAAACAAUCUAUGUUACAGAUUUUGAUGACCCUGAUUUGGAAACACUGGAACAACCACCUGGUGAAGCAGUAUUGAAAGUGUCAAUGCAUGCUGCUAUGGGAAUAGGAGCAACUAAGAACACAUAA
Molecule: ribosomal RNA, 1461 nt
Filed under: Triticum aestivum (bread wheat)
Lineage: Eukaryota; Viridiplantae; Streptophyta; Magnoliopsida; Poales; Poaceae
Description: partial small subunit ribosomal RNA
Source: RNAcentral